CCUACGGGCGGCAGCAGUGAGGAAUAUUGGUCAAUGGGCGCGAGCCUGAACCAGCCAAGUCGCGUGAGGGAAGACGGUCCUAUGGAUUGUAAACCUCUUUUGGCGGGGAGCAAUGCUGCGCACGCGUGCCCGGAGGGAGAGUACCCGCAGAAUAAGCAUCGGCUAACUCCGUGCCAACAGCCGCGGUAAUACGGAGGAUGCGAGCGUUAUCCGGAUUUAUUGGGUUUAAAGGGUGCGUAGGCGGAUUUUUAAGUCAGCGGUAAAAUUUCCGGGCUCAACCCGGGCCGGCCGUUGAAACUGGGGUUCUUGAGUGGGCGAGAAGUAUGUGGAAUGCGUGGUGUAGCGGUGAAAUGCAUAGAUAUCACGCAGAACUCCGAUUGCGAAGGCAGCAUACCGGCGCCCGACUGACGCUGAGGCACGAAAGCGUGGGGAUCGAACAGGAUUAGAUACCCGAGUAGUC
Molecule: ribosomal RNA, 460 nt
Filed under: uncultured bacterium
Lineage: Bacteria
Description: partial 16S ribosomal RNA
Rfam family: Bacterial small subunit ribosomal RNA
Source: RNAcentral